Molecule: ribosomal RNA, 427 nt
Filed under: uncultured Singulisphaera sp.
Lineage: Bacteria; Pseudomonadati; Planctomycetota; Planctomycetia; Isosphaerales; Isosphaeraceae
Description: bacterial SSU rRNA
Rfam family: Bacterial small subunit ribosomal RNA
Source: RNAcentral
GUCGAGAAUCUUCGGCAAUGGGCGAAAGCCUGACCGAGCGACGCCGCGUGGAGGAUGAAGGCCUUACAGGUUGUAAACUCCUGUUGGGGGGAAACAAACACUGAGUGAACCCCUGAGGAAGCACGGGCUAAGUUCGUGCCAGCAGCCGCGGUAAGACGAACCGUGCAAACGUUAUUCGGAAUCAUUGGGCUUAAAGAGCGCGUAGGCGGCGUCGUAAGUUGGAGGUGAAAUCCCACGGCUCAACCGUGGAACUGCCCCCAAUACUGCGAUGCUUGAGGGAGGUAGGGGCCUGUGGAACUUCCGGUGGAGCGGUGAAAUGUGUUGAGAUCGGAAGGAACGCCAGCGGCGAAAGCGGCAGGCUGGAUCUCUUCUGACGCUGAGGCGCGAAAGCUAGGGUAGCGAACGGGAUUAGAAACCCUGGUAGUCC